UUCCAAAAUUCAUUCAACUGUCCACUCUUUAUCUAUAAAAAGAUCAUCCACUUCCAUUUUUCUUCAUAUCAUCAUCUCCUCACAGUCUCACACGAUCUAACUAAUUCCAAAUCCCACUCUCUUCUUCUCUGCAGCAAACGUGGAAACCAGAGAGAACGUGAUCGUGAAAGAGCUCAAGCAAGAGGUAAUCAUAAGCCUAAACAACCUAAGAACGAUGGAUUGACUCCUGAACAACGUCGUGAAAGAGACGCAAGAGCAUUGCAAGAGAAGGCAGCUAGAAAGGCAGGACAAUCAAUGGGAGGAGGGAAACAUGACCAUGCCCUUCGCGUUGGUGGUAAAAUUAAGAAAUAAGACGAUGAUCAUGCAGUAGUAGUAGUAGGGCUUUAUGCGAUUUUGUAAUUGUAUGUUAUUUAUUGGUUGGUCAUCUGAAUUAAUUAUAUAUCGCGGAUGGGGCAGGUUUUCAAGAGUUGUGUUCAAGUGUGAUUCUGGUCUUCGUUUAUGAACUUUUUGCUAUACGUCUUAUUCCAAUGGAACGUGUAUGUGUUGAUGUUUCGUUCUUUUGUUUUCGAGUUCUCGGUAUUAAUAUGUUUUGGGUUGUUCUCAA
Camelina sativa (false flax) is the source of this 604-nucleotide non-coding RNA. Lineage: Eukaryota; Viridiplantae; Streptophyta; Magnoliopsida; Brassicales; Brassicaceae. The record is from RefSeq and is a predicted model, not a curated record.